Small nuclear RNA from Panicum virgatum (switchgrass), 154 nucleotides. RefSeq annotates it as U1 spliceosomal RNA. The transcript has a single exon. Lineage: Eukaryota; Viridiplantae; Streptophyta; Magnoliopsida; Poales; Poaceae. The record is from RefSeq and is a predicted model, not a curated record.
GUACUUACCUGGACGGGGUCUAUGGCUGAUCAGUCAUGGCCUAGAUUAGCAGCUUCCAUUGCACUUAGGAGGAGCACUGGCCUACCAUCUCCUCGAGCAGGAGAGUGGACGUAAUAAUUUGUGGACGAGGGGUACGUGUUCGCGCGGCCCCUAC